ACCUGGGUAGCUCAGUUGGUUGGGCAUCUGACUUCGGCUCAGGUCAUAAUCUCACCGUCCGUGGGUUCGAGCCCGCAUCAGGCU
This 84-nucleotide transfer RNA is filed under the name Felis catus (domestic cat). It matches the Rfam family "tRNA". Rfam says of the family: Transfer RNA (tRNA) molecules are approximately 80 nucleotides in length. Their secondary structure includes four short double-helical elements and three loops (D, anti-codon, and T loops). Lineage: Eukaryota; Metazoa; Chordata; Mammalia; Carnivora; Felidae. The record is from Rfam by way of RNAcentral.